This is a long non-coding RNA of Globicephala melas (long-finned pilot whale), 2058 nucleotides long. RefSeq lists it as uncharacterized. The record is from RefSeq and is a predicted model, not a curated record. Lineage: Eukaryota; Metazoa; Chordata; Mammalia; Artiodactyla; Delphinidae.
AUUGCUAUUAUUUGCAUUCUUGAAUUUGUAAUUCAGUUUUGAUAUUAAGUGUGCUUUAUCUAUCUUAUACCCACAUGGUGUGGGGUUCAGAAUGUAACAGGCGCCCCCUGGAGUCUUCAUCCGAUGCCCAGCACCUGGUCUUCCCUUCCCUGAGGCAGUCAUGAUGGUCCUUCCUCUGACAUCCGCCCCCACCCCCCCAGCUGUGUUGUGCACACGUUGCUUAGGACGGGAUUAACGUCAGUUUUUAAAAGCCAGCAGGCGUCCCGAGGGCGGCAGUGGAGCUGAGAAACCCUCAUCAUUUAGACAGAGCUGGCGCGGGCAUCCCUCCCUAGUGAGCCUGCGGUGGACCAGGCUGGGCCUCCGACCCCAGCCAUGCCUGAGGAACGCCAGUCUCCAUGAUGCGCCUGACAGGCGGCCAGGGGCAGCGCGGCCCCAUCUCUGAGCACAGGCUCCGGAUGCGCGGGCUCAGCGGCCAUGGCUCACGGGCCCAGCCGCUCCACAGCACUGGCAAGUUCUCCAUGUGCGUCAUGUAUGGAUCGGAUCCUUGUCCCUGAGCAGCUGAACCUGUCUCCACUGCCUGUGGUUCACCAGGCCGGAGCUGAACUGCAGGCGGCACAGUGACUGACGCAGGCUGAUGGAGAGUUAAAGACACAAGUUGCCUUGGCAAGGGUUCUGCAAACACCUGCUUUGCAAGCUGUCCUCCCACACAGCGACCUUGGGAAGGCCUUGGAGAGUUGCGUGGGAGGGGCCGGGGUUUUCACCAUGACUUCCUAGGGCGUCAGUGUUGCCUUUGUCUCCAGGCUCUUCUGGAAUCAGUGAAGAAGUACCAGCAGGGAUUCGGUAGCGGAUGAACUUGGCCCCAGCAGGACUGAGGACUCUGACGGGCACACGGCGGCUGCUCUUCCUUCUAAUCUGCAUGUUGACCAAGGGAGACAUGGGGCCCGAGUUUGAAAAGCAGAAGAGAUACAGAAGAAAAGGAGACGAUAAGUCAACUAAGAAGUCAGAACUUGCAAAGAAGCUCCCACAAAAUAGCCAACGGAGACCAAGGUAAGAUGGGAUGAGCAGAUGGGGGUGGACAUGGGCCAAGAUUUUUUUAAGCCACUGGUAAAUGUUGGUUCAUAAAGGAACUUUGAUCCUUUCCCCAUCAGGCUAUUUCUUCCAGAAUGUAAGGUUUAAAGCAAAAAACACUGACUGAACGUGGUGUGCUUGGAGAUUAUUUGGGUCCAAUAAACCUUCACAAAACCCAGGUGGUUUCCGUGAAUGGGAGAUGUUAUCAACAGGCUGGGAGGAAAAACCCCAUGCUUGUAACAUUUACACUGGACCAGCAGCUGGCAGUGAAUGAAAGUAGUUUAAAACUGUUUUUACUUUCAGUAAAAUUUUUCUGGGUCGAAUUUCUUUUGAACUCUUCCGUUACUCUUAAUUCCUGCAAAGCUAGGAGGGAGAAUGUAUCUGCAAAAUGAACUGUGAAAUGGGACUGGAAGGGGCUACUUCUUGAAAGGAAAAAUAAACUUUCCGCAGUGGUCCAGUUGCAUUAAGACUGUGAGAGGUGAAAACCGUAUAAAGCGAGGUCACUAGGGGGUCAGAGCAGCACAAGGCAGCGAGCGUAAAUAAAGUACGUACUCCAUUUGCCCACUGCACGUUGGCUUCGUUUAUGAAGUAACUGGGUUUUCUGAAAGGAAGCAGAAAACCCUCCUGACACAGCUGCCUUCCGGGGAAGGCAGCCUGAAGGAAAGCAAUGCUCUCGGGACUGAGGGGAUGGUUCGUUCCCGGUCGCGGCUCUCUAUGUGGCUCUGUCUAGUUGGAUGUGGAUUUUUUUAUGACUGAGGAUCUUAAUUUGAAAAACCUUCCAAAACCCUCACGACUCAAAAAGUUGUAGGACUCUGUGUAAUGGUGCAUUUCCCAACUGCGUACGCUUGUGAACAACAGGAAAGCUUCACUUCGCUCUUGGAUCGGGGGGAAGUGAGGAAGUGAUUCCCAUGCUGAAAAUACUCCGUUUGUCCCUUGUGCCUUUUUUUUCCUUUAUCAAGAGUCGUAUAUUUUGUCUUUCCAAAAACCUGC